UAAUACGGAGGAUCCAAGCGUUAUCCGGAAUUAUUGGGUUUAAGGGGUCCGCAGGCUGUUUGUUAAGUCAGGGGUGAAAUCCUACCGCUCAACGGUAGAACUGCCUUUGAUACUGGCAAACUUGAGUUAUUGUGAAGUAGUUAGAAUGUGUAGUGUAGCGGUGAAAUGCAUAGAUAUUACACAGAAUACCAAUUGCGAAGGCAGAUUACUAACAAUUAACUGACGCUGAGGGACGAAAGCGUGGGUAGCGAACAGGAUUAGAUACCCUGGUAGUCCACGCCGUAAACGAUGGUCACUAGCUGUUCGAUGUACAUUGGUACAUUGAGUGGCUAAGCGAAAGUGAUAAGUGACCCACCUGGGGAGUACGCUCGCAAGA
Molecule: ribosomal RNA, 376 nt
Filed under: uncultured Bacteroidota bacterium
Lineage: Bacteria; Pseudomonadati; Bacteroidota
Description: bacterial SSU rRNA
Rfam family: Bacterial small subunit ribosomal RNA
Source: RNAcentral